UCACCAUGUUGGCCAGGUGCGGUGGCUCAUCACUUUGGGAGUCCAAGGCAGGCAGAUCGCCUGAGGUCAGGAGUUUGAGACUAGCCUGGCCAACAUGGUGAAACCCCAUCUCUGCUAAAAAUACAAAAAAAUUAGCCAGGCAUGGUGGCAGGCGCCUGUAAUCCCAGCUACUUGGGAGGCUGAGGCAGGAGAAUCGCUUGAAUCCGGGAGGCGGAGGUUGCAGUGAG
This 227-nucleotide long non-coding RNA is filed under the name Homo sapiens (human). RNAcentral's name for it is "HSALNT0087462". Lineage: Eukaryota; Metazoa; Chordata; Mammalia; Primates; Hominidae. The record is from RNAcentral.